CGGGGGAUAACAGUUAGAAAUGACUGCUAAUACCGCAUAAGCGCACGGAGCCGCAUGGCGCAGUGUGAAAAACUCCGGUGGUAUGGGAUGGAUCCGCGUCUGAUUAGCUAGUUGGCGGGGUAACGGCCCACCAAGGCAGCGAUCAGUAGCCGACCUGAGAGGGUGGCCGGCCACAUUGGGACUGAGACACGGCCCAAACUCCUACGGGAGGCAGUAGUGGGGAAUAUUGCACAAUGGGGGAACCCUGAUCCAGCGACGCCGCGUGAGUGAAGAAGUAUUUCGGUAUGUAAAGCUCUAUCAGCAGGGAAGAAAGAAAUGACGGUACCUGACUAAGAAGCCCCGGCUAACUACGUGCCAGCAGCCGCGGUAAUACGUAGGGGGCAAGCGUUAUCCGGAUUUACUGGGUGUAAAGGGAGCGUAGACGGCGAUGCAAGUCUGAAGUGAAAGGCGGGGGCCCAACCCCCGGACUGCUUUGGGAACUGUACGGCUGGAGUGCAGGAGAGGUAAGUGGAAUUCCUAGUGUAGCGGUGAAAUGCGUAGAUAUUAGGAGGAACACCAGUGGCGAAGGCGGCUUACUGGACUGUAACUGACGUUGAGGCUCGAAAGCGUGGGGAGCAAACAGGAUUAGAUACCCUGGUAGUCCACGCCGUAAACGAUGAUUACUAGGUGU
RNAcentral lists this ribosomal RNA (670 nucleotides) under uncultured bacterium. RNAcentral's name for it is "bacterial SSU rRNA". It matches the Rfam family "Bacterial small subunit ribosomal RNA", at positions 137 to 823 of the family's 1533-position model. The record is from RNAcentral.